UUAUAGCAAUCCAAUAUUCACAUUUGUAUUAUGCUAACAUAGUAUCACUCAUUUGCCACCUUACAGUGGCAUCAGUAAUCAAAUAUACAUAUUUGAUUUUUAACAUGAAUUUUAGUGGUCUUCAUUACUUAUACAUGUACACAAGCAUAAGACUCUUGAUCGUCAGCUAAGUGACUUUAAAUGAAGGUACCGCAACUGAGGUGCCAUAGUACCUACCAAAAAGA
RNAcentral lists this long non-coding RNA (224 nucleotides) under Theobroma cacao (cacao). RNAcentral's name for it is "long non-coding RNA (TCAC_LNC001831)". The record is from RNAcentral. Lineage: Eukaryota; Viridiplantae; Streptophyta; Magnoliopsida; Malvales; Malvaceae.